UCUGGUGGCGAUAGCGAAGAGGUCACACCCGUUCCCAUCCCGAACACGGAAGUUAAGCUCUUCAGCGCCGAUGGUAGUUGGGGGAUUCCCCCUGUGAGAGUAGGACGUUGCCAGGC
Molecule: ribosomal RNA, 116 nt
Filed under: Bacillus sp. FJAT-27231
Lineage: Bacteria; Bacillati; Bacillota; Bacilli; Caryophanales; Bacillaceae
Also listed under: 1 other name
Source: RNAcentral